AACAAGGUCUCCGUUGGUGAACCAGCGGAGGGAUCAUUACUGAGUUUACGCUCUAUAACCCUUUGUGAACAUACCUAUAACUGUUGCUUCGGCGGGUAGGGUCUCCGCGACCCUCCCGGCCUCCCGCCUCCGGGCGGGUCGGCGCCCGCCGGAGGAUAACCAAACUCUGAUUUAACGACGUUUCUUCUGAGUGGUACAAGCAAAUAAUCAAAACUUUUAACAACGGAUCUCUUGGUUCUGGCAUCGAUGAAGAACGCAGCGAAAUGCGAUAAGUAAUGUGAAUUGCAGAAUUCAGUGAAUCAUCGAAUCUUUGAACGCACAUUGCGCCCGCCAGCAUUCUGGCGGGCAUGCCUGUUCGAGCGUCAUUUCAACCCUCAAGCUCUGCUUGGUGUUGGGGCCCUACAGCUGAUGUAGGCCCUCAAAGGUAGUGGCGGACCCUCCCGGAGCCUCCUUUGCGUAGUAACUUUACGUCUCGCACUGGGAUCCGGAGGGACUCUUGCCGUAAAACCCCCCAAUUUUCCAAAGGUUGACCUCGGAUCAGGUAGGAAUACCCGCUGAACUUAAGCAUAUCAAU
This 574-nucleotide ribosomal RNA is filed under the name Colletotrichum gloeosporioides. Its description in RNAcentral is "eukaryotic LSU rRNA". The stretch from base 212 to 365 matches the Rfam family "5.8S ribosomal RNA". Lineage: Eukaryota; Fungi; Ascomycota; Sordariomycetes; Glomerellales; Glomerellaceae. The record is from RNAcentral.